RNAcentral lists this non-coding RNA (107 nucleotides) under Natranaerobius thermophilus. Its description in RNAcentral is "TPP sequence". It matches the Rfam family "TPP riboswitch aptamer (THI element)". From Rfam's summary of the family: Vitamin B(1) in its active form thiamin pyrophosphate (TPP) is an essential coenzyme that is synthesised by coupling of pyrimidine and thiazole moieties in bacteria. RNAcentral also lists the same sequence under 1 other name. The record is from RNAcentral. Lineage: Bacteria; Bacillati; Bacillota; Clostridia; Natranaerobiales; Natranaerobiaceae.
UUCGCCAAGCAGGGGUGCCUGAAUUCAGGCUGAGAAAGGCCAGUACCGCCUUACCCUUUGAACCUGCUCUGGUUAGUACCAGCGUAGGGAGCUUGUAUUGACUAAUA